RNAcentral lists this ribosomal RNA (497 nucleotides) under uncultured bacterium. RNAcentral's name for it is "partial 16S ribosomal RNA". It matches the Rfam family "Bacterial small subunit ribosomal RNA", at positions 28 to 507 of the family's 1533-position model. The record is from RNAcentral.
GAUGAACGCUGGCGGCGUGCCUAAUACAUGCAAGUCGAGCGAACGGACGAGAAGCUUGCUUCUCUGAUGUUAGCGGCGGACGGGGGAGUAACACGUGGAAAACCUACCUAUAAGACUGGGAUAACUUCGGGAAACCGGAGCUAAUACCGGAUAAUAUUUUGAACCGCAUGGUUCAAAAGUGAAAGACGGUCUUGCUGUCACUAAUAGAUGGAUCCGCGCUGCAUUAGCUAGUUGGUAAGGAAACGGCUUACCAAGGCAACGAUGCAUAGCCGACCUGAGAGGGUGAUCGCCCACACGGGAACUGAGACACGGUCCAGACUCCUACGGGAGGCAGCAGUAGGGAAUCUUCCGCAAUGGGCGAAAGCCUGACGGAGCAACGCCGCGUGAGUGAUGAAGGUCUUCGGAUCGUAAAACUCUGUUAUUAGGGAAGAACAUAUGUGUAAGUAACUGUGCACAUCUUGACGGUACCUAAUCAGAAAGCCACGGCUAACUACGUG